UUUUGUAUUUUUAGUAGAGGUGGGGUUUCGCCAUGUUGGCCAAGCUGGUCUCAAACUCCUGACCUCAGGUGAGCUGACUGCCUCGGCCUCCCAAAGUGCUGGGAUUACAGGCAUGAGCCACCAAGCCCAGACACUCUGGUGUCUCUUGAUUACAAUCAACAACCUUCCCUUGACCCACACUGUCCUCCUGCCAUAGCCCUGUUUCUGGCUGUCUUUAAGAACUUAGAAACAUUAUUUUCAGUGGCUAUCUCCACUUCCUUGCCUUCAAUUCCCACAUACCAUUGAAAUUGAUCUUUAAAAGGUCACCAAUAACUUUGUGAACCCUGAAAGAGCCAAUCCUUCUUGAUGGAUCCCAAGUUACUAACUGGGCCUAAAUUCAAAGUAGGACCUAGCAGCCAUUUGCUGACUAGGGUCACACACACAUUCUGCGUUCCUGGAAAGCCCCCACUCUCACUUAACUCUGGGAUGGUUUCACAGCUAUCUGUUCCUGUUUAUGCCGCCAGAAUCAACCCAUCGACUGUGACCUGCAUCGACCAAUCUGAACUCAGCAAGUAUUAACCAAUCAGAACUAAGCAAGUGUGCCUUCCUCAUUUGCAUAAGUGGACCAAAGUGGGAACCUGGGCAGGAAGUUCUCUACAAAAGACGACCUCUUUCUUUGUUCUCUUUGUUCCCUGGAAUGCACCUUUGUACAGAAGGCUGCAUUGCCCUGGUUUACAAACUGCUGGAACAAAGUUUUUUUCCUUUUUUAAAAAGAAAACCUGGGCCAGGUGUGGUGGCUCACGCCUUUAAUCCCAGCACUUUGGGAGGCCGAGGCAGGUGGAUCACGAGGCACGCGGAUCAUGAGGUCAGGAGUUCGAGAUCAGCCUGGCCAGCAUAGUGAAACCCCGUCUCUUUUCAAAAAUACAAAAAUUAGGCUAGGUGCGGUGGCUCACGCCUGUAAUCCCAACACUUUGGGAGGCUGAGGCGAGAGGAUCACCUGAUGUCUGGAGAUCCAUACCAGCCUGGCCAACAUGGAGAAACCCCAUCUCUACUAAAAGUACAAAAUUAGCCGGGCGUGGUGGCACAUGCCUGUAAUCCCAGCUACUCGGGAGGCUG
This 1095-nucleotide long non-coding RNA is filed under the name Homo sapiens (human). Its description in RNAcentral is "HSALNT0156418". The record is from RNAcentral. Lineage: Eukaryota; Metazoa; Chordata; Mammalia; Primates; Hominidae.